AUGAUGACUCUCUGUGGUCAUGGAGCCGUAGAUGUUGAGCUGUAUGAACUCCACCAGAGCGACGACGAGGUGAUCCUGCGCAACAAGCACCUCGGCCUCCCGAGCUCCGGUUCCUCCUCCGCGUCAUCGUGCGCUCCGGCAUCGAGAGCACAGCUACGGCCUGCGCAGCAUCCUCGAGUGCCGCGAGGACUCGCUCACCCACCGGGACGCGCUCGACGAGAUGGACGCCUUCUUCGACGAGGCCAUCGUGGAGCUAUUCGUCAGAACCGGCGUGGCGCCCGCGGACGUCGACAUGCUCGUCGUCAACGUCUCCCUCAUCUCCCCGGCGCCGUCGCUUGCCUGCAGGGUCGUGCCCCGCUUCGGCAUGCGGGAGGACGUCGCCGCGUACAGCCUCUCCAGCAUGGGGUGUGGCGCCGGCCUGGUCGCGCUCGACCUCGCGCGGAAUGCGAUGCGGCCAUGCGGGCACGGUCGGUGUCCAUGCUGGCCCUCGUGGUCUCGUCCGAGUCCAUCGCUCCCAGCUGGUACACCGGCACCGACCGGUCCAUGAUGCUGGGCAACUGCCUCUUACGCUCCGGAGGGACGAGCCGUCGCCGGGAGCACCGUCAGCAUCUCCAGCAGGCGGCUGCGCAUGGCGCGGAAGUCGUCGGCGGCGCUCUCCAGUCUCCAUCGAGAGGAGCCUGCAGACUGGGUUAG
Molecule: ribosomal RNA, 693 nt
Filed under: Triticum aestivum (bread wheat)
Lineage: Eukaryota; Viridiplantae; Streptophyta; Magnoliopsida; Poales; Poaceae
Description: partial small subunit ribosomal RNA
Source: RNAcentral